ACAAGAGUUUGUCCAUAUAUCUUGAUCUCUAGAUAAGGCAUAUGAAAACUCUGUUUAUGUCAAUCUGCUACACAAACGUGUUUUCCCCAAGAUGACCUUCUCACUCGCAGAUAUAAACCAGGUGGGAAUCUAUGAGGCCCUCAGCACUAAACCAUUCAUCUUGCUGAGAAAAGAAUACUCCGAGAAUGUUCUACAGAUGAAGCGUGUCAUUCUCAUGUAUGAGAAAGUCUAUUUCUGUGUAUCCAACUGCUACUCAUCAUUCAAGAAGCUCCUAAAACAGAUCCGUGUUACUGCUCUGUUUCACAAAUUCAUUGCCAAGCCCUACAGAGGAAUGAACAAAAGGUAUAACAUCUUCCCCAAGCAAAGAUUUGUUGGCUGA
RNAcentral lists this long non-coding RNA (379 nucleotides) under Felis catus (domestic cat). RNAcentral describes it as "lncRNA (ENSFCAG00000049857.1)". The record is from RNAcentral. Lineage: Eukaryota; Metazoa; Chordata; Mammalia; Carnivora; Felidae.